Molecule: ribosomal RNA, 806 nt
Filed under: Gambierdiscus australes
Lineage: Eukaryota; Dinophyceae; Gonyaulacales; Pyrocystaceae
Description: LSU rRNA
Rfam family: Eukaryotic large subunit ribosomal RNA
Source: RNAcentral
AUUGGCACAGUAGUUGCGAAUGAACAGCAAAUUGCUCAAAUUGAAUUUGGGGACACCUGGCCCUCAACAUGAAAUCUCUGAAUGCUCCACCAACAAAGGCUCAGGAACAAAACCAUUCUGGAGGGGAUUGUGAAAGUGCCAACAGGGGUGAGAAUCCUGUGGUUCUUGCAGACCUUGUUCACGGUGUCUGCUUUCCAGAGUCAUGCUCCUUGGAACUGGAGUGCAAAGUGGGUGGUAGCUUCCACACAAAGGCAAACACACCACUGAGACUGACAGUGAAGAAGUACCGUGAGGGAAGUAUGAAAAGGACUUUGGAAAGAGAUUUAAAAGAGCCUGCACUUGCUGGACAACAAGCAUACAGAAUGAUCGUGUGAUUGGACAGAUUGCUGUGUGAAUACAGGUAACAAUCCUGUGCUGCAUGCGGAGAUUCUUUCUUGGUGUGCCAACUAGUGUGAGAGCAGUCAGUAUCUGUGGGCAGUGCUUGGGGUGUGUCUUGUGUCACAUGUGAUUGUAUGUACCUGGUCUGAACAUGUGAAACUGCAUCUACUGGCAAUGAAGAGUUAUGCAUGCAGUUGCUUUCACCAACGGUUCACCUUGUCAACGACAUGGGUGCCUUUCUGUGUGACCCGUCUUGAAACACAGACCAAAGAGUCUAGGCAGUAUGCAAGCUUGGGGGUGACAAACUCUGAGCACAAUGAAGCUGGAGUCCCGGAAAUGGCAGGGGUGUUCAACCAAGCAACAGGACAAGGUUUGAGUCUGAGCACACUUGUUAGGACCCGAAAGAUGGUGAACUAUGCCUGAAAAGG